Molecule: transfer RNA, 72 nt
Filed under: bacterium
Lineage: Bacteria
Description: tRNA-Glu
Rfam family: tRNA
About the family: Transfer RNA (tRNA) molecules are approximately 80 nucleotides in length. Their secondary structure includes four short double-helical elements and three loops (D, anti-codon, and T loops).
Source: RNAcentral
GGCCCUAUCGUCUAACGGCUAGGACACGAGACUUUCAUUCUCGUAAUCGGGGUUCGAUUCCCCGUGGGGCUA